GCAUAUCAAUAAGCGGAGGAAAAGAAACCAACAGGGAUUGCCCUAGUAACGGCGAGUGAAGCGGCAACAGCUCAAAUUUGAAAUCUGGCCUCGGCCCGAGUUGUAAUUUGCAGAGGAAGCUUUAGGCGCGGCACCAACUGAGUCCCCUGGAACGGGGCGCCACAGAGGGUGAGAGCCCCGUAUAGUUGGACGCCUAGCCUGUGUAAAGCUCCUUCGACGAGUCGAGUAGUUUGGGAAUGCUGCUCAAAAUGGGAGGUAAAUUUCUUCUAAAGCUAAAUACCGGCCAGAGACCGAUAGCGCACAAGUAGAGUGAUCGAAAGAUGAAAAGCACUUUGAAAAGAGGGUUAAAUAGCACGUGAAAUUGUUGAAAGGGAAGCGCUUGUGACCAGACUUGCGCCGGGCUGAUCAUCCGGUGUUCUCACCGGUGCACUCUGCCCGGCUCAGGCCAGCAUCGGUUCUCGCGGGGGGAUAAAGGUCUCGGGAACGUAGCUCCUCCGGGAGUGUUAUAGCCCGGGGCGCAAUGCCCUCGCGGGGACCGAGGUUCGCGCAUCUGCAAGGAUG
Molecule: ribosomal RNA, 561 nt
Filed under: Chrysanthotrichum allolentum
Lineage: Eukaryota; Fungi; Ascomycota; Sordariomycetes; Sordariales; Chaetomiaceae
Description: partial 28S ribosomal RNA
Rfam family: Eukaryotic large subunit ribosomal RNA
Source: RNAcentral